AUUGAACGCUGGCGGCAGGCCUAACACAUGCAAGUCGAGCGUGAAAGCCUUCGGGUGAGUAGAGCGGCGGACGGGUGAGUAACGCGUGGGAAUCUACCUAGUAGUGGGGGACAACAGUCGGAAACGACUGCUAAUACCGCAUACGUCCUAUGGGAGAAAGCGGGGGAUCUUCGGACCUCGUGCUAUUAGAUGAGCCCGCGUAAGAUUAGCUAGUUGGUGGGGUAAAGGCCUACCAAGGCGACGAUCUUUAGCUGGUCUGAGAGGAUGAUCAGCCACAUUGGGACUGAGACACGGCCCAA
This 299-nucleotide ribosomal RNA is filed under the name uncultured Teredinibacter sp. RNAcentral describes it as "partial 16S ribosomal RNA". It matches the Rfam family "Bacterial small subunit ribosomal RNA", at positions 30 to 334 of the family's 1533-position model. Lineage: Bacteria; Pseudomonadati; Pseudomonadota; Gammaproteobacteria; Cellvibrionales; Cellvibrionaceae. The record is from RNAcentral.